UUUGCUUCUUGGCCUUUUGGCUAAGAUCAAGUAUGGUAUCUGUUCUUAUCAGCAUUUCAUUUCUUUAUAAUGAAUAUAUACUAGAUUUGAUAUAUUAAGCAGUGAGAAUUUAGCAUGGCAUUAACAGAUUUUGCUUGUUAAGAGAGCCACA
This is a small nuclear RNA of 151 nucleotides. Its record names the gene U2. It matches the Rfam family "U2 spliceosomal RNA". From Rfam's summary of the family: U2 is a small nuclear RNA (snRNA) component of the spliceosome (involved in pre-mRNA splicing). Complementary binding between U2 snRNA (in an area lying towards the 5' end but 3' to hairpin I) and the branchpoint sequence (BPS) of the intron results the bulging out of an unpaired adenosine, on the BPS, which initiates a nucleophilic attack at the intronic 5' splice site, thus starting the first of two transesterification reactions that mediate splicing. The record is from Ensembl.